RNAcentral lists this ribosomal RNA (253 nucleotides) under uncultured bacterium. RNAcentral describes it as "partial 16S ribosomal RNA". It matches the Rfam family "Bacterial small subunit ribosomal RNA", at positions 524 to 776 of the family's 1533-position model. The record is from RNAcentral.
UACGGAGGGGGCUAGCGUUGUUCGGAAUUACUGGGCGUAAAGCGCACGUAGGCGGCUUUGCAAGUCAGAGGUGAAAGCCCGGGGCUCAACCCCGGAAUUGCCUUUGAGACUGCAUCGCUAGAAUUGUGGAGAGGUAAGUGGAAUUCCGAGUGUAGAGGUGAAAUUCGUAGAUAUUCGGAAGAACACCAGUGGCGAAGGCGGCCUUCUGGACCAAUACUGACGCUCAUGCACGAAAGCGUGGGGAGCAAACAGG